UAUAUCGUUUAGGAGUCGGUGGGUCAUCCAUAACCUACCUCACAUCAUAGACGUUAUGUAAUUGCAAUAAAAUAUGGUUCUAAUGCAUUACACUCUAAUAUCAAUGCAUUUCAUGAUGCAUGAUUAUGCUUAAUGCAUUAAUUACAAUAAAUAAAAAGCAUUUGAAAUUCAAUUAAGUAGUUUAUACUUACCUCUUGUGUACUUAUAAAUUAUUCUUACCCCUUUGAUCUGGCACGUAGACUUUAACUUUAUUGCGUUUUUCCUAGAUUCUCCGACACCAAACUAACUCAGGGCUCAACUUCUUUGUACUUCGAUCACUAACUCUGA
This 327-nucleotide unclassified non-coding RNA is filed under the name Hevea brasiliensis (rubber tree). The record is from RNAcentral. Lineage: Eukaryota; Viridiplantae; Streptophyta; Magnoliopsida; Malpighiales; Euphorbiaceae.